RNAcentral lists this ribosomal RNA (229 nucleotides) under uncultured bacterium. Its description in RNAcentral is "partial 16S ribosomal RNA". It matches the Rfam family "Bacterial small subunit ribosomal RNA", at positions 568 to 796 of the family's 1533-position model. The record is from RNAcentral.
CGUGUAGGCGGCUGGCUAAGUCUGGUGUGAAAGCCCGGGGCUCACCCCCGGAAGUGCGCUGGAAACUAGUCAGCUAGAGUAUGGGAGAGGGAAGGGGAAUUCCUGGUGUAGCGGUGAAAUGCGUAGAUAUCAGGAGGAACACCGGCGGCGAAGGCGGCUUCCUGGACCAAUACUGACGCUGAGACGCGAAAGCGUGGGGAGCAAACAGGAUUAGAUACCCUGGUAGUCC